GAUCCUGGCUCAGGACGAACGCUGGCGGCGUGCUUAACACAUGCAAGUCGAACGGACAGACAGAGAGCUUGCUCUCUUGAAGUUAGUGGCGAACGGGUGAGUAACGCGUAAUCAACCUGCCCUUCAGAGGGGGAUAACAACGGGAAACCGUUGCUAAUACCGCGUACGAUUCACGAGCGGCAUCGCUUGUGAAUGAAAGGUGGCCUCUAUAUAUAAGCUAUCGCUGAAGGAGGGG
Molecule: ribosomal RNA, 235 nt
Filed under: uncultured bacterium
Lineage: Bacteria
Description: partial 16S ribosomal RNA
Rfam family: Bacterial small subunit ribosomal RNA
Source: RNAcentral